Molecule: ribosomal RNA, 263 nt
Filed under: uncultured archaeon
Lineage: Archaea
Description: partial 16S ribosomal RNA
Rfam family: Archaeal small subunit ribosomal RNA
Source: RNAcentral
AGUCACUGACAUUAGAUACCCCUGUAGUCCAGGGUGUAAACGCUGCAGACUUGGUGUUGGGGGCCCUUUGGGGGCAUUCAGUGCCGGAGAGAAGUUGUUAAGUCUGCUACUUGGGAGUACGUCCGCAAGGAUGAAACUUAAAGGAAUUGGCGGGGGAGCACCGCAACGGGAGGAGCGUGCGGUUUAAUUGGAUUCAACACCGUAAACUCACCAGGGAAGACUGUUACAUGAAGGCCGAGAUGAAGACUCUGCUAGAUUUUCAG